UACGUAGGUGGCAAGUGUUGUCCGGAUUUACUGGGCGUAAAGGGAGCGUAGGUGGAUAUUUAAGUGGGAUGUGAAAUACUCGGGCUUAACCUGGGUGCUGCAUUCCAAACUGGAUAUCUAGAGUGCAGGAGAGGAAAGUAGAAUUCCUAGUGUAGCGGUGAAAUGCGUAGAGAUUAGGAAGAAUACCAGUGGCGAAGGCGACUUUCUGGACUGUAACUGACACUGAGGCUCGAAAGCGUGGGGAGCAAACAGG
This 253-nucleotide ribosomal RNA is filed under the name uncultured bacterium. RNAcentral describes it as "partial 16S ribosomal RNA". It matches the Rfam family "Bacterial small subunit ribosomal RNA", at positions 524 to 776 of the family's 1533-position model. The record is from RNAcentral.